RNAcentral lists this long non-coding RNA (696 nucleotides) under Marmota monax (woodchuck). Lineage: Eukaryota; Metazoa; Chordata; Mammalia; Rodentia; Sciuridae. The record is from RNAcentral.
GGCAAAGUCAGUCACUGCCAGAGUGGAUGGUGGUAUGGACAGUGGUGCUGGAGGUAGAAUGGCCCAGCCAGGACGCCUCCCUGGGUAGUUGUAUGACAGGCCGACUCCACAACCCUGUAAAUGUCCCGGCCUCCGAAAAACCGUACAAGACGCUUCCCCAUAGCUCCAAAGGAAGAGGCUUCGUUCAGCCUUUGCGAGUGCCACAGUGGGCGCCGCCGCCAACGUGUCCCCCCUCUUCCACACACUGCGAGGGAGCCUACGUGGAGCUGGCACCCAAGGGGUCAGGAGAAGCCCACGCGGCUCCAGAGCGAGCCCUCAAUAAGGGAGGGAGCCGACUGCCUGCAGAAGCGGGACAGAGCCAGCCAAGCGCGUCCUCGGCACCCGGACCGGCGCCGGCUAGUCAGCCUGCGGAGCCUCAGCAGGAGAACUGCCUGCGCUGUCAGACACGCUCCGAGCCAUCCGACCCCUAUCCAUCAGCGCGUCUGUCAAGCCCCAACUCUUCCAGACUCUUCUCUAGGUUCCUGAAAGGCCCGCGACCCCCAGUCUCGACCCCCACCGUCCUCACCCUGGUACCUGGCUGCUGGCACAUGACACUGUGCAUCCUGUCCCCUGUAUCCCUCAGGAUUCAGGGCCAGGCGCCGCAUCCUUCCUUCCCGACUCCCUGGAACCGACCCGGACCCCGACCCCGCCGCCGGC